This 155-nucleotide ribosomal RNA is filed under the name Origanum onites. RNAcentral's name for it is "5.8S". It matches the Rfam family "5.8S ribosomal RNA". Rfam says of the family: 5.8S ribosomal RNA (5.8S rRNA) is a component of the large subunit of the eukaryotic ribosome. It is transcribed by RNA polymerase I as part of the 45S precursor that also contains 18S and 28S rRNA. The record is from RNAcentral. Lineage: Eukaryota; Viridiplantae; Streptophyta; Magnoliopsida; Lamiales; Lamiaceae.
CUCGGCAACGGAUAUCUCGGCUCUCGCAUCGAUGAAGAACGUAGCAAAAUGCGAUACUUGGUGUGAAUUGCAGAAUCCCGUGAACCAUCAAGUCUUUGAACGCAAGUUGCGCCCGAAGCCAUUAGGCUGAGGGCACGUCUGCCUGGGCGUCACGC